Long non-coding RNA from Syngnathus acus (greater pipefish), 358 nucleotides. RefSeq lists it as uncharacterized. The transcript has 3 exons. NCBI's taxonomy places the organism in Eukaryota, Metazoa, Chordata, Actinopteri, Syngnathiformes, Syngnathidae. The record is from RefSeq and is a predicted model, not a curated record.
UAAUCUUUGUUAAGUGCCAACGGCGGAGAAACAGACACCGUGAUCUAUGGACACAUUUUCGCUACAUGGAAGUGGAGAAAAAAAGUCCUUAUGCUUGCUUUCAGUGGAAGACAUGGAAACAACCACAAAGACACGUCGCAGUUCACCCCAAAGCCAUUGUCGUGGUCUUGUGAGCGCGUGACCACGAGGACGGGCAUGCGGUCACGUGACGGCGCCGAUGACGAUGGGCACGUGGUCAAAUGACGACGGAUGGGCCGCUCGCCAGUCGAGACAGACAACCGAGUGGUCACCAGCAAGUGUCCGGGGACGGGCGUCGUCUAAUAGCAAAGAACUUGUGGACACAAACAUGGACUGGACG